UGGGGAAUUUUGGGCAAUGGCCGCAAGGCUGACCCAGCGACGCCGCGUGUGGGAGGAAGCCCUUCGGGGUGUAAACCACUGUCGGGGGGGACGAAUGUCGGGCAGUGAAUAGCUGUUCCGAGUGACGGUACCCCCAAAGGAAGCGCCGGCUAACUCCGUGCCAGCAGCCGCGGUAAGACGGAGGGCGCAAGCGUUGUUCGGAAUUACUGGGCGUAAAGCGCGCGCAGGCGGGAAGAUAAGUCUGGAGUGAAAUUCCGGGGCUCAACUCCGGAGCUGCUUUGGAUACUGUUUUUCUAGGGACCGGUAGAGGCCGGUGGAAUUCCCGGUGUAGCGGUGGAAUGCGUAGAGAUCGGGAAGAACACCCGUGGCGAAGGCGGCCGGCUGGGCCGGAUCCGACGCUGAGGCGCGAAAGCGUGGGGAGCAAACAGGAUUAGAUACCCCCGUAGUCC
RNAcentral lists this ribosomal RNA (449 nucleotides) under uncultured bacterium. Its description in RNAcentral is "bacterial SSU rRNA". It matches the Rfam family "Bacterial small subunit ribosomal RNA", at positions 355 to 796 of the family's 1533-position model. The record is from RNAcentral.